GUAGGGAAUCUUCCACAAUGGGCGCAAGCCUGAUGGAGCAACGCCGCGUGAGUGAAGAAGGGUUUCGGGUCGUAAAACUCUGUUGUAUGGGAAGAACGGGUGUAAGAGGAAAUGCUCACACAGUGACGGUACCAUACCAGAAAGGCACGGCUAAAUACGU
RNAcentral lists this ribosomal RNA (160 nucleotides) under uncultured bacterium. RNAcentral's name for it is "partial 16S ribosomal RNA". It matches the Rfam family "Bacterial small subunit ribosomal RNA", at positions 354 to 506 of the family's 1533-position model. The record is from RNAcentral.